This 352-nucleotide transfer-messenger RNA is filed under the name SAR202 cluster bacterium. It matches the Rfam family "transfer-messenger RNA". Rfam says of the family: Bacterial tmRNA, also known as 10Sa RNA or SsrA, is named for its dual tRNA and mRNA-like properties. Its role is to liberate the mRNA from a stalled ribosome. Lineage: Bacteria; Bacillati; Chloroflexota; Dehalococcoidia. The record is from RNAcentral.
GGGGACGCGUGGGUUCGACAGGGGAUGCUCUUGCGGGAUUGCAGGCCGAGGCGCCAUCGCACCGCGUUAAAAGGUGGCAAAAUUUUAACUGGCAACAACGAGCUAGCACUAGCCGCCUAAGGGUGGCUACGUUCACCGUCAACGUUCCUCGAAGGGGGCGGAUGGGCGACACAAAUCGAGGCGCUGUCUCGGGGACGCCGAUAAACGAGACCUAAGAUCAUCUGGCUGGCUCCCAGCAAUCCUCGUCGGCGGGGACGCGAAGGAGCGAGAAUUAAACGCCGACUAAGCCUGUAGCAUAUCCUAGUCGAGAAGUCUUCUGGACGGGGAGUUCAACCCUCCCCCGUCUCCACCA